UCUAAUGUGGCAGAAAAUUGCAAUGAAUUUAAGAUUCAUUUAUAAAUAAAACUAUUUCUUUAGAA
RNAcentral lists this transfer RNA (65 nucleotides) under Cladonota biclavata. RNAcentral describes it as "tRNA-Leu". The record is from RNAcentral. Lineage: Eukaryota; Metazoa; Arthropoda; Insecta; Hemiptera; Membracidae.